UACGUAGGGGGCUAGCGUUGCUCGGAAUCACUGGGCGUAAAGGGUGCGUAGGCGGGCCUUUAAGUCCGGGGUGAAAUCCUGGAGCUCAACUCCAGAACUGCCUUUGAUACUGAGGAUCUUGAGUUCGGGAGAGGUGAGUGGAACUGCGAGUGUAGAGGUGAAAUUCGUAGAUAUUCGCAAGAACACCAGUGGCGAAGGCGGCUCACUGGCCCGAUACUGACGCUGAGGCACGAAAGCGUGGGGAGCAAACAGG
RNAcentral lists this ribosomal RNA (253 nucleotides) under uncultured bacterium. RNAcentral describes it as "partial 16S ribosomal RNA". It matches the Rfam family "Bacterial small subunit ribosomal RNA", at positions 524 to 776 of the family's 1533-position model. The record is from RNAcentral.